GUCCGUAAAGGUGGAUGAGUGGUGUUUGGUUUGUUACGUGUGGUUGGCUGCGGCGUUUGCAACAACUUCCAUGCUUUCAGACCUCUUCAGUUGUGCGGCAAGGCUUGUAUCGCCUUGAGCGUAUUGUGGGUUUUCUGUGUUGGCUACCUAAUCAAUGGUAUCGGUUGGAUUGAUCAAUGUUUCAUUUCGUCUUCCGUCGCAUUCGCGGCGUGAGAUGAACCUUGAUGCGGUCUCUUUGAUCCACCUCGUCGAAGCGCAUGCUUUGGCGUUGUGGCACAUUGAGCAUUGCUUGGUCUCUUGUAUACGGAACAUAUAGUGGGCAUGGAUCUAACGAUUCUCGUUUGCCCUCAUAUUAGCGUAACGCUUCUCUUACACGACUUGCACCACGUUUUAGCUCGUACGGACGUGGU
RNAcentral lists this unclassified non-coding RNA (410 nucleotides) under Artemisia santonicum. Its description in RNAcentral is "partial external transcribed spacer". The record is from RNAcentral. Lineage: Eukaryota; Viridiplantae; Streptophyta; Magnoliopsida; Asterales; Asteraceae.